GGGGAAUAUUGGACAAUGGGCGCAAGCCUGAUCCAGCCAUGCCGCGUGGGUGAAGAAGGCCUUCGGGUUGUAAAGCCCUUUUGUUGGGAAAGAAAAGCAGCCGGCCAAUACCCGGUUGUUCUGACGGUACCCAAAGAAUAAGCACCGGCUAACUUCGUGCCAGCAGCCGCGGUAAUACGAAGGGUGCAAGCGUUACUCGGAAUUACUGGGCGUAAAGGGCGUGUAGGCGGGACUGUAAGUCAGGCGUGAAAAUUAUGGGCUCAACCCAUAACCUGCGUUUGAAACUAUAGUUCUUGAGUGUCGGAGAGGCAAUCGGAAUUCCGUGUGUAGCGGUGAAAUGCGUAGAUAUACGGAGGAACACCAGUGGCGAAGGCGGAUUGCUGGACGAUAACUGACGCUGAGGCGCGAAAGCGUGGGGAGCAAACA
This 426-nucleotide ribosomal RNA is filed under the name uncultured bacterium. RNAcentral's name for it is "bacterial SSU rRNA". It matches the Rfam family "Bacterial small subunit ribosomal RNA", at positions 356 to 774 of the family's 1533-position model. The record is from RNAcentral.